RNAcentral lists this transfer RNA (72 nucleotides) under Marmota marmota marmota (Alpine marmot). It matches the Rfam family "tRNA". From Rfam's summary of the family: Transfer RNA (tRNA) molecules are approximately 80 nucleotides in length. Their secondary structure includes four short double-helical elements and three loops (D, anti-codon, and T loops). The record is from Rfam by way of RNAcentral. Lineage: Eukaryota; Metazoa; Chordata; Mammalia; Rodentia; Sciuridae. RNAcentral also lists the same sequence under 1 other name.
UGGGGUGUGGCUCAGUGGUGGAGCGCUUGCCUAGCACAUGUGAGGCACUGGGUUCAAUCCUCAGCACCACAU